RNAcentral lists this long non-coding RNA (1897 nucleotides) under Marmota monax (woodchuck). The record is from RNAcentral. Lineage: Eukaryota; Metazoa; Chordata; Mammalia; Rodentia; Sciuridae.
GUUUCAGUCUCUCUCUGUCGUCCAGUUCUGUAUUGACAAAUGCACUAUGUCACAUAUCUACUGACAAAGUGACAUAAAGAAUAGUUUCUCCUUCUUAAAAAUUCCCUUUGCCAGGGCUGGGGAUGCCCGUGGGUGGUGGAGCACUUGAUCAUCACGCACGAGGCCCUGGGUGCCAGCCCCAGCUCCGGAAACCAAGAAAAUAGCCCUCAUGAUCCAUUAUGCACCUCAAGCCCUGAAACCACUAAACGUUUUCCUGUCUCCAUAGUUUUGCCCUCAUUCAAGAUGACACAGGGUUGGAACUAGUCUGUAGCCUCUUAAGACUGGCUUCUUUCACGAGCUUUUAAGAUUCCUUCAUGUCUUUUCCUGAGCUGUUUCACUAGCCCUGCCAUUCUGAAUACUGUAGUUUUAUAGUAAGUUUAAACUUACUUAAAAGAUUAAAAAAACUUUUAAGUUUGUUCUUCCCCUCAUGACUACUCCAGGUCUUUUGAUUUUCUACCUGAUAUUUAGAAUCAAUCUGUUGACACAAAAUAACUUUCACAAUUUGACUUUCUGGGGUUCUGAUCCAGGUUGUGAGAAUAAACUUGGGAAGAAAUAUCAGCUGAACAAUAUGGAGUCUUUGUAUCCAUGAACAUAGACUACCUUUCCAUUUGUUGAGCUCUUUGGUUUCUUUCAUCAGAGUUUUAUAGUUUGCCUCAAACAUAUCCUAUACAUAUUUGUUAGGUUUAUACUUAUGUGUUUUUCAUUUUUUUUUUUGUAUGUAUGUUUAUGUGACUGGCGUUAAGUUUUAAUUCAAAUUCCAAUUUUUUGUCGCUGGUAUAUGGGAAAGCAAUUGACUUUUGUCUAUUACUCUUGUAGCCUGAACUUGUGCUACAAUGAUUAAUUCUAGGAGGUUUCUGGUUGACUCUUUGGGAUUUUAGCAUAAAGAUAAUAAUAUCAUCCACAAAAUGUGUUAGCUUUCUCUCACUGUGACAAAACACCUGAGAAAAACAGCUUAAAAAGAAGAAAGGUUUAUUUUGGCUGGUAGUAUCAAAGGCUUUAGUCCACGGUCACUUGUUUUGUUGCUUUGGGGCCUAUGGCAAGAAGAGUGCUCACCCCAUGGCAAAGAGAAAGAGGAAGGAGCUGGGCCCCCAAGCACACACUUAACACCCUCACUUCUCUCCACAAGGCCUGGCCUCCCAAGAUGUCCACUACUUCCCAACAGUAUCAUGGGAGCCUUUGAAGGACAUUUAAGAUCCAAACCAUAACACAAAGACACUUUGGCUUCUUCCUUCUCAGUCUACAGACUGAUUCUUCUUUUCUUUGUCUUGUUGCAUUAGGUCGGACUUCCAGUAUGAUGGUGAAGCGCUGGGGAGGGGACGUGGCUGCUUUGUCCUUGAUGUUUAGGGGACAGCAAUGGGGUUUCUCACCACCAAGCAAUGUGUUAGCAGCAGGGUUUUAGCAGAUGGAUUUUUUGUCCAGGUCGAGUUUCUUCUUCUCCCUCCACUCUGCUCCUGGGUCCCUGAGGGUUCUUAUCAGGAUGGUGUUGGAUGUCAUUAAAUGUCUCUUCUGCACCUAUUGACAUUGGUGACUUCUUUCUUCCUUAGCCUGUCGAUGCGAUGGGUUAUAUUAGUUGACAUUUGGAUGUCGAAUCAGGCUUACGGGACUGGGAUGAGUCUUGCAGGGUUGGAAGUCAGAGUUCAGUGCCCACGUUAUUGGGUCUGACUCAUGAACAUCUUUGAGGACUUUGGCCUCUGAGUUCAUGAGGGAUAAUGGUCUGUAGUUUUCCUUUCUUGUAGAUACUGGUUUGGGGUUUCAGUAAUAAUGUACUGCUGGUCUCACAAUCAAGUCAGAUUCUUUCUGCUUCUAUUUUCUGGAAGGGAUGGUAAAAAAAUGGUAUUAUUUCUUCCUUAAGUGUUUG